CCAAACGAGCGCAGUAUUGUGAAGUGCUCACACAGAUUGUCUGAUGAAAGAAGAGACGGUAUCAGCAUAGGCUUGUAGCUCAGGUGGUUAGAGCGCACCCCUGAUAAGGGUGAGGUCGGUGGUUCAAGUCCACUCAGGCCUACCAAAUCUUUCUUAUCCCGCGUUAUAACCAGACUCGCUUAUUUCAUUCAAUAAGCUUCGCCUGUUUAUGCCUUGGUUAAGCAAG
Molecule: unclassified non-coding RNA, 226 nt
Filed under: Xenorhabdus koppenhoeferi
Lineage: Bacteria; Pseudomonadati; Pseudomonadota; Gammaproteobacteria; Enterobacterales; Morganellaceae
Description: partial 16S-23S ribosomal RNA intergenic spacer
Rfam family: tRNA (bases 69-142)
Source: RNAcentral